Non-coding RNA from Salmo salar (Atlantic salmon), 520 nucleotides. Lineage: Eukaryota; Metazoa; Chordata; Actinopteri; Salmoniformes; Salmonidae. The record is from RefSeq and is a predicted model, not a curated record.
UAUCUUCAUGGACAAACUUGUUGUUCUAACCUACGGUGGCUCAGCUUCAAGGAAACGUAUCUGCUGUUUGUAUUUCCAGCUAAGUCCCUUCCUGUUCCAUGGUUUAACAAGCGAUGACCACUCUACUUCCAUUGUCAACUACCUCCUCACAUGAACUGGAAGCCACGUCUCAUGUGGCCCACUCAUCCACUGGCACAUUGAAUGUUUCCUCUCCAAGCACGUCAAAUCCUGCCCUGCACUGGUCAAGCCUCUGAACACCUCAACUCAUGCCUCAUACCCUCAUUCAAUCACUGCUGUGAUCCCUUCCCAAAAUGGUAAGCCUGAUUCUACUCACUGUGGUAGUGUGGAAGUGUUCAGCUGUAUUAUUUGGCCUGUGGUCCUGUUGUCCACAGUCCCAUCGGUGAAGAUAAUGUCUUAAUUGAGCUUCUUGUCUGUGACUGAGAUACGUAAUCUGCACAUUUACUAAAACGUCAGCUCUCAUCUCUCCCAACGUUCUCAAUGUCAAACCAUGAAGGCCGGG